AGUAAAGGCCUCGGCCGGUGAUGGAUGGGGAUGCGUCCGAUUAGCUUGACGGCGGGGUAACGGCCCACCGUGGCACCGAUCGGUAGGGGUUCUGAGAGGAAGGUCCCCCACAUUGGAACUGAGACACGGUCCAGACUCCUACGGGAGGCAGCAGUGGGGAAUCUUCCGCAAUGGGCGAAAGCCUGACGGAGCAACGCCGCGUGAGUGAAGAAGGCCUUCGGGUCGUAAAGCUCUGUUGAAGGGGACGAAUGUUAGUCUUAUCAACAACGAGACUAAAUGACGGUACCUUUCGAGGAAGCCACGGCUAACUACGUG
RNAcentral lists this ribosomal RNA (315 nucleotides) under uncultured bacterium. Its description in RNAcentral is "bacterial SSU rRNA". It matches the Rfam family "Bacterial small subunit ribosomal RNA", at positions 200 to 507 of the family's 1533-position model. The record is from RNAcentral.